GUGGGGAAUAUUGGACAAUGGGCGAAAGCCUGAUCCAGCCAUGCCGCGUGUGUGAAGAAGGUCUUCGGAUUGUAAAGCACUUUAAGUUGGGAGGAAGGGCAGUAAGUUAAUACCUUGCUGUUUUGACGUUACCGACAGAAUAAGCACCGGCUAACUUCGUGCCAGCAGCCGCGGUAAUACGAAGGGUGCAAGCGUUAAUCGGAAUUACUGGGCGUAAAGCGCGCGUAGGUGGGUUUGUAAGUUGGAGGUGAAAUCCCCGGGCUCAACCUGGGAACUGCCUCCAAAACUGCAUGACUAGAGUACGGUAGAGGGUAGUGGAAUUUCCUGUGUAGCGGUGAAAUGCGUAGAUAUAGGAAGGAACACCAGUGGCGAAGGCGACUACCUGGACUGAUACUGACACUGAGGUGCGAAAGCGUGGGGAGCAAACAGGAUUAGAAACCCCGGUAGUCC
This 450-nucleotide ribosomal RNA is filed under the name uncultured bacterium. RNAcentral describes it as "bacterial SSU rRNA". It matches the Rfam family "Bacterial small subunit ribosomal RNA", at positions 354 to 796 of the family's 1533-position model. The record is from RNAcentral.